GGGGGGGGAUCAGCCUGCCGGUGUACCGUUGUGCACGAGGCUCCACGUCCCUGGAGUCGUUCCACCUGCAUCUCAACCGCUUUAUCCCAGGAGAAAGUGCCAAUCCAUGGCACUUUCAGGCAUUUCUCCUGGAGGGGUUGACGCGGUGGAACGAGGACAGGGCGGCGUCCGCGGCACAGGAGGGACGUCCGCUGCUCCGCUCCUACAGUGGCCCCCUGCAGCACUCCCUUGACCAGCUCAGCCAAAGGGUGCUUGGCACGAGUGUGGUCAAGGAUUACACCAAGCCCAGGGAGUACACCGGGGAGCUCAUCGGGAUUGAGUACCUGUACUCCCAGACGGGCAGAGUGCUGCAGGACGUCAGCUUGGACCCUGACACUCCGGACGCGGGGG
Dicentrarchus labrax (European seabass) is the source of this 390-nucleotide long non-coding RNA. RefSeq lists it as uncharacterized. The transcript is spliced from 3 exons. Lineage: Eukaryota; Metazoa; Chordata; Actinopteri; Moronidae. The record is from RefSeq and is a predicted model, not a curated record.